UCAAGAAAAUCAAAGUACAGAGAAGGCUAACUUCCGAUUGUUCAUAUGCUCACAACCAUAACUGGAGUCAUCAACCCCCUAAAGUUUGUUAUGUAUGGAGGAAUAUAUUGCGUAACCGAAUCCUCAGCCAAGACAAGGAUGAGGAUUAGAAGGCAAUUUGUCAAUCAUUUUCAGAGGGCCUGCAUUGCUCCCCAAGUGUAGUCCAUCUGCUUGUGUGAAGUGUCAUUGUUGUCCUCCAUGACUCCCUCUAUUAUGGUAUACCAUAGAGGAUGUUGGGGUCGUAGAGACUAUCCACUAGCACCAAACACUGCUUCCAAAUAGCUGAUAGUGCAGGGGUUCAGUAACUCACCACUCCACUAUAACCACUAGUGACCAAAGCACUUAUAAUGUAGACCAUUCAACUAGCCAAGGAACACAAUUCCUGGCUUGCUAAGUCUUCUAGUUGCUCCCUUAAACCAUCCUCCCUUCUUCAUUUGGUUCAUAAGAUCAUCAAAGGAACCCCCACUUGAGUUCAGUCCUAUGCACCCUUCACCUUCAGUGCUUCCUUUUCUUGCAAGACCCUAUGGAAGUUCUCCUCCCUCCAACAAAUGGUCCAGCUAGCUCCACCACUGGAAGUAAGGCAAAGUACCAUAUUGCUGCCAACUAAGCUACCCACUUCAUCUCCACAUGUCAACGCAAUAAUAGAGUUCAGAAUUUUUCACAUUACUUGUGCCCGUGAAAGAACUAGAUUGGUCUAGAAGACCUGCACCCCAUAACACAUGUAUCAAUAUUUGUUAAGACUCUUCAGCAGUAUUAACGAUUUGAAACAUUUAAUUAACAGUUGUGCCGAUAAUAUCAAAUAUGCUAAUGAUUAGAUAACCACAUCUAUGUCACAAAACAUAUAGACCUUUCUACAAAAUUAAAUCUUAAUCAUAGUUGAUGUUGUUGUAGUGGGCUCUAGAUUAUACUAGGAAGAGGAUACCAAAAUCAUAUGCCUCAUUGUUGAUGGACUACAAAACCCAUUUCCCAAAUUUCCACAUAAAUUUAUUGUCUGAUCAAAUUUCCACAUAAAAACAAAGUUUUAUUUCUUGCUCCGAUACAAUAUUUUUUGGUAAUAUACCGAAUUGUAAUACCAGUGUGCUAGGUGGUACACCAACCCAUCCUGUCCAGUAUCACCAAAGAACAAAUUACAUAAAAAUGGAUACUAGAUCAUAUGAUCCGAUAUCAUUCCUUAGACUGGUAAACAACUGAUUACUGAAAUCAUGAUCAAAAGAAAUAUCAUAACCACUUUAGGACUGAGAAAAAGAAUAUAUAACACAAU
This 1300-nucleotide long non-coding RNA is filed under the name Musa acuminata (dwarf banana). RNAcentral describes it as "long non-coding RNA (MACU_LNC003306)". Lineage: Eukaryota; Viridiplantae; Streptophyta; Magnoliopsida; Zingiberales; Musaceae. The record is from RNAcentral.